RNAcentral lists this ribosomal RNA (2784 nucleotides) under Triticum aestivum (bread wheat). RNAcentral describes it as "partial small subunit ribosomal RNA". Lineage: Eukaryota; Viridiplantae; Streptophyta; Magnoliopsida; Poales; Poaceae. The record is from RNAcentral.
AUGAAACGUGAGAAAGGGCUCACCACCUUUGUGCGGGUCAUCGCCUUUCUGGAGAGGGUAGGUAACGCCAUCGGCAACCUGGCGUUCAUCUGGGCCACGGUGGUGGUGCUCGGCGGCUUCUGGGAGCACCUGCGCCACGAUUUUUGGGUCGUCACUGUGAUUGUUUUCAUAGAGGGUUUCAGGGCGUUUAGCCGGCAAAGCAAUUCGGAUGACCAAUUUCUAUUCAAAACUACAGGAGGCAUCAAGCUCAAAAGGGUGGGGCUAGACACUAGAAGCGGAUGUCUGUAUUAUGCGAAUGCAGCUAUAAUGACGGCAUGUGUGUUGAUGGUACCAGCUCUUCAUAUAAUUCACCGUCUCUUAUCAAUUUUAGUGCUCCAGGAUAGUGAUGGCUUUUUACUACUGGUGUUAGUGGUGAUAGUACGCAAGCUGAGGUUUUACAGGCUUAUUGGUUACAUUAGCGCGAAAAAAAGCAACAUAGUGUUGCACUUCAGUCCCGCAACUGCUCUCCUAGUAAUUUGGAUUGCAGGCCACUAUAUAGAAGGAUAUUGCUCGGACGGUUUUUGCGGCUUUGGAUGGAUGAAUUACAAACUGAUUCUUCUAUGGUUCUUCAUCUACAUUUUAGCGAGGUUGAGAUUGCCGGGACAUGGUUUUCCGUAUGACAGAAUAGUUAAAGUAGCAGCGCAACUAAUCCGUCUCGUAUUGCUUUGUUUAGUACUUUUGAGACUGUUGGUAUGGUUUGGGCCUAUGGGCAAGCUGGUGCUGUUAAGCACACUGGUGCGAGGCAACCUACAAAUUCCAAUGGCUCUGGCACGAAUCAUCUUCUCCUAUGUGUGGCUUGUGACGAAGGAUAUUGAAGUUCACGGCACCGAAAACAAAAACGUCAAGCUAGCAGUGCAGAUGUUGUACACAUUGGUGAUGUGCCAAGGGGCACUCUAUAUGUUGGCGUGCAUACUGGAGUCGUCAUCUUUCUUGUAUCGGAGAAAACUGGCUCUUCAUUAUGGACUCACAGAUAAGUUGGGCAUGGAAUCCAUUGACCUCUACUAUGAACAAGCCUUUGACUCUUUCUUGCAAGAAAGUGUGUUCGACACUACCAAGAAGAUGAGCCUUGUCACCUUUGCUGUGGACUCCCUGAACACCAAGGCGUCACGGGAGAAGAAGUGUGCCGCAGUCCGCAUCUUGGCCGCCUUUCUGCAAAAUCAUACGACCUCCAGCUCCAAUGACACAAAGAUUAUCUCCCUGAUCACCACCUCCACCAAGGCAGCGACCACCUUGAUUAGCAUGCUGGGCUGGACAGCCACAGAAGAUGCAGAUAUCCAGCGAUUCGCCACAAAGGUCACCGCUCAUCUUGCUCCAAACCUACGGAUCGUGGGGAUUCCCGGAACUAUGCAGAAGGUAUCUUUACUUCUUGAUGCCCAAGAUCAACCUAUUAUACAGGAAGUUCCAGCCCAGGUUGUGGUCGGUAAUGUAGAUAAUCAGCAAAUCACCAAUGCUUCAAGUUCUCCAAUAGUGGACAAUAACAGAAGGAACAAUGGUAGACAACAAACGAGAAUGCGCACUGCUCUAAGUUUUUUACCGCUGGACAUUGAGGGAGGGAACGCACCAGUAAUGGCAAGUCGAUCUCGUAGUUACCAAUUCUUACUUUUUCUGAUGGAGGGGAUAUGCAGAUUUGGGGAACACAUCGAAAAGCUGAUGUCGAUUCCACACAAGGACUCGGAGCAUAAUGACUCACUCCCUGUAUUGGGCAUGCAGAUACUUGAAGGGCUUGCUCAUGAUCUCCACAACUGCGCUGAAAUCAGCAGAGCAAUGGAGCUUCUCCCAAAGAUCAUAGGGUUCAUAAACUGCAUUACUGGCACAACAGCAGUGCAGCUGGAUGAGAUCACUACUUCAUCAUUGAAAUUAGUUGCCAAGCUUGCAAGCAUCAAUGGGAAAACCGGCAUGACACUGCGGCAAGAGAUUUCUGAGAACCCUUUCCUGUUUGGCAACCUUACCAAGAUCUUGGAGCUGGAGGCCAACCCAAGCUACCUAGAACAAUCGAAGCUGGCUAUGUAUAUCAUUGCCAAGAUCGCCAAGACCUCCAUUGAUAAGAAAACUAGGCACAAGAUUGGGGCAUUCCAGGUUAUCAUCGACAAGCUGGUGAAAGAGUUCCUUGGGGAUGAUGAGAACCCAUUGCGAGCAGAGGCAGGGGAAGCACUCGCAAUGCUAGCAAUGGAUUGCCCUGGCAACUGCUUUGCUAUGUUGGAUGAAACGAGUUACGACCUUAUAGGGGAUCUCGCCAACAAGAUGGAGCAUGGUCAGCACAUAUACUCUGUGGCAAGUCUACUUCAGAGGUUGUGCCAAAACUCCAGGGAAUUAGUGUUGCACCAUCAAGGUCCAAACAAUGCACUGUCCUCUACCCUUACCGUGGUCUUGAGGAGAAUAGUGGAUGCAGAGGGCAAGCUGGUGGAGGCACUGAUCAGCCUGGCUUCACAAAUUUGCAGGGCAGGCAUUAUCCCUCACUCGUCUGCAAAUGAUCAAGCAUUUGUUACGAAACUGGUGGCUGAACUCAACUCCCGCAAGAAACCGAGCCCAGAUGAAUUUCCAGAUAUGAGAAGGAUGCUGGUUGAGCUCACAUUAUCCAUCGUGGCAUCCUGCCCUCGCUACGCACUCAUCUUCAGCCAAAACGGGAUGAUGGAAGCGUUGUCCAAUGUGGAAUGUUACAUGUGGUUGGUGGUUCCAGAGGAGCAGGGAGCUUUGUGUGCUAUGGUAACCAAGGCAAAGGCCCUGAUCGGCGUUGAUACGACGUGA